This is a non-coding RNA of Anas platyrhynchos (mallard), 3140 nucleotides long. The record is from RefSeq and is a predicted model, not a curated record. Lineage: Eukaryota; Metazoa; Chordata; Aves; Anseriformes; Anatidae.
UUUUUUUUUUUUUUUUUUCUUUCUUCUUCUUUUUCCGUGAAUUAAACAAAGAUUAAACUGAGGUUACUAGUCCACUGCUGGAAGUGAAUCACCUGGACAAAUCCCUAUUCAAAGUUACAUUUCACCACAGUGGCUAAAAGAUGCUAAGUCACGCUCAACCAGCCGGAUGCUUUCCAUGGGGAAAAGCUCUUCUUUUUCUUGCCGUGUCAUUAAUGAGACAAGAUUACCCAUACUUUGUAGAGACAGAUACAAAGAAAUCCUAAUGGCCCCAUUUCAUGGCUGUGACUGAGACUGCACCCAGCUCAGUUGAAGGAGGAAGGUGGAGGUCCUGCUCAGAGGCUGCUGCCCCUUUGGCCAUGCUUCCAGCACAGUCGGUGAGUGCCGAGUGAGCUGCAGAGCUGGGGGUGAGCUCAGGGCUUCCCUGGACCCACUGUGCAGAGCGAAUCUCCCCAGAAGCACGAGGGCCGUGCCAUCACCGCUGCAGCAAGGCACAACGCAGCAGGAGCACAGGACAUGCUUGGCCUCUGAAUACCUGCGCCCCGCCUGCUCACCUCUCCCUUGACUGUUUUUCACUCACAGCACUAACAGUUUCAGACAAGUUGUCUAUCGCAGAGGAGUAAGAAGGAACAAAGGCUGGGAGCCAAGGACAGACAACACCAAGCAGAAAAAAGGAAUGUUUGUUGAAAACACAAGAAUAACUGAACCGGCCUCCCCCCAAGAAGGCAUAUUUGCAGCCCUCCAGGCCUUCAAAGAUAUGAAGCCAGAACAGAAUGGAAGGAAGAAUAUUUGUCACCAAAUUCCUUUGUAAGACAAAGCAACAGCUUGCUAAGUCACUGCCUGUAACUUUGCACAACAGCCAUACACUGGUAAAUAAUAGGUAAGCACACACAGGCUGAGUAAAGGUAGCCGUUAAUUGGUAGUAAAGGAUACAAAGAAAACAUACGGUGUGCACAGUAGCUUCCACAUGGUUCCAUUUACAUGUGGUCUAAGAGCACGUACAUAUAUUGCAGUUGAGUGAAGCUCAGAGUCCAGACCUAGGCUGCCUCAUGCAGUGAUGCAGGACUACUGCUGCUGUUGCUAAACCAGACAAAACCCUAGAUGUGCUCCUUUCCCCACCCUUCAAGGCAUUACCUAGUGAAGCUCCUCAGUGGAGCCUUGCUUCAGCUCCAGCCAGACCAUACCACUUCCAGGGCCAGCUGCUUUUCCAAUGUGGAGUCUAACAGCAAGUACUGGCAUCUCUAUCUGGUGUGUGCUCAACUGGGAGCUCUGGUGAAGCACAAUUCACGUUCCCCAGUGGCUCCUCAGUUUGGGCUCAGGCCAAGCUUAUGCAUUCCAGCCAGCUCAGCACUGCUUCUACCCAGGGCGCCUUCGGAGCUUGGACACCUCUGCUCCAUAGUACUCCAGGUUUCAGGAAAAGUUAGCAAGAUUUAUACUAAUCCCAACAUUCUGUCCAAGCUAACAAACCUUCCCUGAGCCUGAAGAGCUCAGUUCUGAAAACAGGAUGGUUUUACAGCUGCCAGCAAUAAGCCAGCUAACAAGCCACUCUGGACCUGCAGACACUCCAAGUGUGAGCACGCUUCUCUCCCAGCACAUUCUCUCAUAGCCCAGGUAAGCUCAGCCCACCUCCCUUGAUACCAGAGCCCAACACACCCAGCAUCAGGCUGGCAAACACCUCUCCAACUCCUGCUACCUUGUGGCUGCUCCCAGGAGCAAAAUCUUUCUUUAAAACCUCCCCUUUACACACCUACCAGUCUGCCUGAUUUUAGGUAAGACAAUUGAGCCUUGCACGAUUGGAAUAGUACUCCAGUAAAACAAGACAUGGUUACAGUUUAAGCAUAUGGAAAUCCUAGAGGCUCUUUUUGUUUAGUUAAGUGACAUUUUAAUUAUGCAGAAGAUGUUAAAGGCAGCAUAGGCCUCACUGUGAAUUAGGUCUUCUUUUGACAAUGACUGACAUUUUACUUCCCACAGAUAUAAUACAUACUCCUUGCAGACAUGAAAUGGUUUAUAAACAGUUAACAACAAAGUCAAAACUAAAAAUGCAUGAGAAUACAGUUAACAAUUAAAAAAAAAAAAAAAACACAACAAAACAACACCCCAUGCCUCUAAGCAUGCACUGUCAAAAUGGAAGAAAAGCACCAAGAAACCUUAGCAUGAAAGACUAUUCCUUUCAGGCCUAUCAGUGUAAAGGCUGGAGCUCAAGACAUGCAACCACUACGAUUUCAGUCCUGAAGGACACAAAAAACGCUUCUUGAAAUGUAAGAUGAUAACUAACAAACAGCUAUCAAACAGCUGCUACUAAUUACUUAAAUCAUAUACUGAAAUCUGCAUGGAGACAACUGAAAAAUGCCUGCAAUGUAAACAUUUCAGCAUUGAUAUAAAAACCAGUUAAGUAGUAAAUACAAGACACCCCUUCAAAACCUGAAAACCCUUGAAAAACCACACACAUGUAUAUGUAUUUCUUUUUAUGCAUCUAUCUAUAGAUAGAUGCUUCAAAGUUCUCAAAGUCUACAAGAAUCUUUUGCAAUCAACUGUAGUAUCACUUGUUGGCCACUAUGGUUAGCUGUAAUAUGAAUGAAUCUCAGACAAGCAAAUUUCACUAACUUUAGGGCACUGUUACAAGGUGUAUAUAUAUUGGCAUGUAACUGUCCAUGUCAUCUUCAAAAUAAAUAAAAAGUAAACUAACUCUGAGGUAAGGGUAGUCUCUGGUGCUGCUAUAAGCAAAAGAAAAAAACCUCAAAUGGUUCAAAGUAAUGUCUUGCAAGUAUGCUAUUUAUAAGCAUUUUUAACAAUACUACCCCCAUGGGAACGAAUCAUACAAGGCAAGAACUUCACAAUACAAACCAACAGAAAUACUAAGCCUUUAUUACAAAGAAAAAAAUAUUCCACAGAAGAGGUCAGCUUGGUUCUAUGCAUGCUGUCAGUCAUAUUCACCUGCUGAGUGUGGAGAAGUGGCUUCUGCUAGAUGUAUUAAUCCCUCAAGAUGCUGUUAGGCUUUGUUCUUAGCCACAAGUGCACGGGCAUUUUGAUUUAACUGAAUUACUUGUUAGAAUGUUGUUGCCAGCAUUAAAUGGGCCAAAAUAAUGAACCUGACUGUUGGACAUGCCAAAAACUGCAAGUGAAAAAUCACACACUGAACAUAG